Molecule: long non-coding RNA, 374 nt
Organism: Mizuhopecten yessoensis (Yesso scallop)
Lineage: Eukaryota; Metazoa; Mollusca; Bivalvia; Pectinida; Pectinidae
Exons: 3
Source: RefSeq, a predicted model, not a curated record
ACAUUGUGAGGAGAGGUAUGACUAGCUAUGGUAAGUACAGAGUGAGGAGAGGUAUGACUGUAGCUGUGGUGAGUACAGUGUGAGGAGAGGUAUGACUAGCUAUGGUUAGUACAGAGUGAGGAGAGGUAUGACUAGCUAUGGUAAGUACAGUGUGAGGAGAGGUAUGACUGUAGCUGUGGUGAGUACAGUGUGAGGAGGGGUAUGACUAGCUGUGGUGAGUACAGUGUGAGGAGAGGUAUGACUGUAGCUAUGGUUAGUACAGUGUGAGGAGAGGUAUAACUGUAGCUGUGGUGAGUACAGUGUGAGGAGGGGUAUGACUGUAACUGUGGUGAGUACAGUGUGAGGAGGGGUAUGACUGUAGCUGUGGUGAGUAC